RNAcentral lists this ribosomal RNA (606 nucleotides) under Colletotrichum melonis. RNAcentral describes it as "partial large subunit ribosomal RNA". It matches the Rfam family "Eukaryotic large subunit ribosomal RNA", at positions 37 to 665 of the family's 3401-position model. The record is from RNAcentral. Lineage: Eukaryota; Fungi; Ascomycota; Sordariomycetes; Glomerellales; Glomerellaceae.
AGCAUAUCAAUAAGCGGAGGAAAAGAAACCAACAGGGAUUGCCCCAGUAACGGCGAGUGAAGCGGCAACAGCUCAAAUUUGAAAUCUGGCCCCAGGCCCGAGUUGUAAUUUGCAGAGGAUGCUUUUGGCGCGGUGCCUUCCGAGUUCCCUGGAACGGGACGCCAUAGAGGGUGAGAGCCCCGUACGGUUGGACACCAAGCCUUUGUAAAGCUCCUUCGACGAGUCGAGUAGUUUGGGAAUGCUGCUCUAAAUGGGAGGUACAUUUCUUCUAAAGCUAAAUAUUGGCCAGAGACCGAUAGCGCACAAGUAGAGUGAUCGAAAGAUGAAAAGCACUUUGAAAAGAGGGUUAAACAGCACGUGAAAUUGUUAAAAGGGAAGCGCUUGUGACCAGACUUGCGUCCGGUGAAUCACCCAGCUCUCGCGGCUGGGGCACUUCGCCGGCACAGGCCAGCAUCAGCUUGCCGUCGGGGACAAAAGCUUCAGGAACGUGGCUCCUCUCGGGGAGUGUUAUAGCCUGUUGCAUAAUACCCUUCGGCGGGCUGAGGUACGCGCUCCGCAAGGAUGCUGGCGUAAUGGUCAUCAGCGACCCGUCUUGAAAAACACGGA